UCAACAAUCAUUUUGAAUUCAAGCAUCAACGAUACAAUUCAAGCAUCAACGGCGUACCUUUCUAUUUUGUUCUAUUGGCAUUUUUUCUUUUUACAAGGUAAGACGAGAUUUAUCCUCACUAGAAAACCUGACAAAUUCUAACAAGAUUAGAAAGAUUACAUGUCUGGCACAUCAAAAAAAUUGGAUUUUUAACUUCACAGACAAAUUAACAAAUUAGCGGACCUUUGAAAAUUUUUCUUUGAAUUUAAUCAAGUCAAGCAUCAACUAUCGGCGUACCAUUGGUAUUUUGUUCUUUAUACAAGUAUGUUUUCAUUAGUGUCAUAUAAUUAUGGCGAGUUUUGUGUCGUAGACACAAAAAAAAACCAAACCAUUUGACGGGGACGGAUAUAUUUUUAAAUACAAAGGCGGAUCCUAUUUGGGAACGAUAAUAGCAAAAAGCGACAACAAGGAAGAACUUUCUAAUUUAAAGAAUAUAAAAGAAGACGAAGCCAAUAGGCAAGAAACACAGCCAAAACAAAAGAAUACUCAUUCAUCACAAGCGAUGGAAAUUGUAAGGAAUUCUAUAAAAAAUAUGUCAUCGUCCAUAAAUAAUGAAAUGUUACAAAGCUUAAAAACUUUUAGCUUGGUUGCUUACGACACUGAUGAUUAUUUUGUUAUUAACUCAAAAACUAUAACACAACUCCAAGGCAGUGAUUGUGUUGUGAAAUAUAGAGGUGGUUUUUAUUCUGCAAAACUAAUUGCAUCUUAUGCAUCCCCUUUCGGACGGACAAUACGCAAGAGGUGGAGC
This is a long non-coding RNA of Musca vetustissima, 787 nucleotides long. RefSeq lists it as uncharacterized. The transcript is spliced from 6 exons. NCBI's taxonomy places the organism in Eukaryota, Metazoa, Arthropoda, Insecta, Diptera, Muscidae. The record is from RefSeq and is a predicted model, not a curated record.